This 301-nucleotide ribosomal RNA is filed under the name uncultured bacterium. RNAcentral describes it as "partial 16S ribosomal RNA". It matches the Rfam family "Bacterial small subunit ribosomal RNA", at positions 509 to 807 of the family's 1533-position model. The record is from RNAcentral.
CAGUAGCCGCGGUAAUACGUAGGGUGCGAGCGUUAAUCGGAAUUACUGGGCGUAAAGCGGGCGCAGACGGUUACUUAAGCAGGAUGUGAAAUCCCCGGGCUCAACCUGGGAAUUGCGUUCUGAACUGGGUGGCUAGAGUGUGCCAGAGGGGGGUAGAAUUCCACGUGUAGCAGUGAAAUGCGUAAAGAUGUGGAGGAAUACCGACGGCGAAGGCAGCCCCCUGGGAUAGCACUGACGUUCAUGCCCGAAAGCGUGGGUAGCAAACAGGAUUAGAUACCCCAGUAGUCCCUGUCUCUUAUAC